UCCAGGGUAGCCUAGUGGACAUGGCAUCUGCCCGGUAAGCGGAAGGUUUGUGGGUUCGAUUCCCGCCCCUGGAC
This is a non-coding RNA of Cordylochernes scorpioides, 74 nucleotides long. Lineage: Eukaryota; Metazoa; Arthropoda; Arachnida; Pseudoscorpiones; Chernetidae. The record is from the annotation of a GenBank genome assembly.